GUAUAGAAUGAGUGUAGGAGCUCUGCAGCAAGAGAGAAUGAGAAAGGGUUCCUAAAACAAAAGUGAGCAUCUUCCCACUUUAAGAACAGCAGGAUUUUUCUCCUUUCUGUGGAAGAUUAGCUUCCCACCCUGGUAGCUGCCCCAAGACUAUUUGGAAUUGAGCUCUUGGUGCUUUUCACCCUAAUUUCCACACAGGUGCCUGUUGGCAAAAAGCAAUGUUGGCCUCCAAUGGUAGCAUUAACUGCCUUCGUACAAGAAAAAUUACUUUCAUGUGAAGCAGAAUAAAGGAUUUUCAUGGUAUUACAGGUUGAAGAGAGUUGGAGAAAUGUGCUUGACUGUAUCCCAAGAAAAGAUCAAAGCAAAGAUCCCUGACAUGCUACCUCCUCCCAGUCCAUGUCAUACUGCCUUGGCAGAUCACAACCUGAACUCUUAGCUCAAUGAUAACCUGAAUUAUCUACUUGAAGAGGAAGAUUCAGAUGAAGGAUGGGAAGCCAAGUUCUGUCUUUUCCUUGUGCUGGAGCUGACUGUUCCUUGUGGGCAAGACUGCAGGACUUGCCUCUUAACUUGGUCUUGGCUCAUGCAACUCAGCAUUGCUGAUCAUGGUGCAAGUUCUUUGAUACUCGAUGUUUUUCCUGAAAUCCGAGUCUUUCAGGCAGGUAAAUCUCUGAGAAUUUCUCUUGAUAAUCCUUUGUGCUAGUAAGAGAGGAAGGAGUUAAAAAAUGUGGCUAAGCACAGCCCUAAAGGUCAAACUACAACACACACAACACUUAGAAACAUAAUCCUCAUUCAGAAAGGGAAAAUUAUAAGUAUUUUAAUUUAAUUGAUUUAAAUUAAAUUAAUUUAAAUUAAAUUAAUUUUUUUAAAUCAUAAAUAUUUUCACUUAAAGACUUUGCUUUUUCUAGACCUGAUUUUUUUAAAACAUUGGCUUACUUCCUGAAUCAGUUCCUUUGGUUUUAACUUGGGUCAAAGGUUUGGCAACUGUUUCCUCAUAUUUUAAUUUUAAUGAGACUAUCCCAGAUUUUUAUAUUGUCUAUUAAAACAGUAUUUAAAAACUGCAAAGUCUGCAAGGCCUACUUUUCUGGUCAGUACAGAGUGCCCUCAUAUCACAUUGCUGUUAAUGGAAAUUAAUUGUAUCGUGCCUAUAGACCUUGGAGCAGUUUUACAGAUAUUAGAUUCUUAGACAUCUGUGAUGUUUUAUUAUUGAUUAAAGAACGAGAGGAAAUCUCAUGGUUUAAGACCUUGUAGUGGGAUUUAUGAAUUAGUUCUUUUCCUAUGUGACCCUUGGCAGGUCAUUGAAUCUGUCUUUCAGUUUCCCAUCCGUGAAGCAGGGAAUAAUGAUGAUUUUCUGCUGCUGCUCUUUGUCCAUCAUCCCUGCUUAAAUAGUGCACUCUUUGGAACAGGACUUGCUACUGGGUAGUGCAGAGAAAUUUCAUUCUGAGUUCAGAUCCCCAGCUGUAAUACAAAUAAUUAAUAUCAGCAUUAAACAGUCAAAGGUAUUACAUCCAAGAUGCAAUUGGCCUGAGGCCUGCAUA
RNAcentral lists this long non-coding RNA (1532 nucleotides) under Taeniopygia guttata (zebra finch). Its description in RNAcentral is "lncRNA (ENSTGUG00000025092.1)". The record is from RNAcentral. Lineage: Eukaryota; Metazoa; Chordata; Aves; Passeriformes; Estrildidae.